AUUCCAUGAUGAAGGCACUUUCGUAAAAAUUCUUUGUACCUUUCCCAUGCCUCUACAAGGACUCAUCAUCCAUUUGUUGGAAAGCAGUGAUCUCAUUCCUCAACUU
This is a non-coding RNA of Gossypium hirsutum (cotton), 106 nucleotides long. NCBI's taxonomy places the organism in Eukaryota, Viridiplantae, Streptophyta, Magnoliopsida, Malvales, Malvaceae. The record is from Rfam.